AGCGAACGCUGGCGGCAGGCUUAACACAUGCAAGUCGAACGCCCCGCAAGGGGAGUGGCAGACGGGUGAGUAACACGUGGGAACGUACCCUUUGGUUCGGAAUAACUGUGGGAAACUCAAGCUAAUACCGGAUAAGCCCUUAUGGGGAAAGGUUUACUGCCGAAGGAUCGGCCCGCGUCUGAUUAGCCAGUUGGUGAGGUAACGGCUCACCAAGGCGACGAUCAGUAGCUGGUCUGAGAGGAUGAUCAGCCACACUGGGACUGAGACACGGCCCAGACUCCUACGGGAGGCAGCAGUGGGGAAUAUUGGACAAUGGCGGCAACCCUGACCCAGCCAUGCCGCGUGAGUGAUGAAGGCCUUAGGGUUGUAAAGCUCUUUUACCCAGGACGAUAAUGACUGUACCGGGAGAAUAAGCCCCGGCUAACUUCGUGCCAGCCGCCGCCGUAA
Molecule: ribosomal RNA, 447 nt
Filed under: uncultured bacterium
Lineage: Bacteria
Description: partial 16S ribosomal RNA
Rfam family: Bacterial small subunit ribosomal RNA
Source: RNAcentral